This 2988-nucleotide long non-coding RNA is filed under the name Sus scrofa (pig). RNAcentral describes it as "lncRNA (ENSSSCG00030050952.1)". The record is from RNAcentral. Lineage: Eukaryota; Metazoa; Chordata; Mammalia; Artiodactyla; Suidae.
AAAAACAUUUAAUUUUUAAAAAUUGUCUGUGGCAUCAAAUAAUCUUUAUAGUCUCACACCAUUUCCGUAGUAGGAACAAUGCUCAUAUCUAAAAACACAAAAAACAACAAAAUCCUAAUCUCAAAUUCAUCCUUAAAUGACUGAAUCCUACCACACAUCAGAAUUUAUUUUUACUUUUUUUUUUAAGGCCGCACCUGCGGCAAGUACAUGGAAGUUCCCAAACUAGGGGUUGAAUCAGAGCUGCAGCUGAGGCCUAUGCCACAGCUUAUGGCAAUGCCAGAUCCUUAAUUCACUGAUUGAGGCCAGGGAUCAAACUCACAUCCUCACAGAGGCAACGUUGGGUCCUUAAGCUGCUGAGUGACAUCAGGAACUCCCAAAGAAUUUAUUUUUAUUUUUUAUGCAAAGAAUUUUUCCAAAACUUUUCUAAAUCUCAUAAGGUCAAUCCUAAGUCUUAAAACUUUAAAUAUACAACAUCUAUUUUGUUUAUUAACAAUGUACUGAUUUGGCCCUAUGACUGAGAAAAUGUUUUUUUUUAAAAAAGUAAUCUGGAGUUUCCAUCAUGGCUCAGCAGAAACGAAUCCCACUAGUAUUCAUGAGAGUGCGAGUUUGGCCCCUGGCCUCGCUCAGUGGAUUAAGGAUCUGGCGGUACGUGAGCUGUGGUGUAGGUCGCAGAUGCAGCUCAGAUCCUGCAUUGUUGUGGCUGUGGUGCAGGCUGGCAGCUGUAGCUCUGAUUUGACCCUGAGCCUGGGAACCUCCAUAUGCCAUGGCAAUUUAAAAACACAUAAUGCAUUUUUCUCCAUUAUAAAUGAAAUACACAGUAACUUAAUAUCUAUCAAGGGUGGCAAAUGUGUAUUUGGGAAAUAAGUUAAAACUCGAAUCAGGAAAAAAAACCUUUAAGUUUUUUACUUCUGAAACUACCCAAAUAUUUUCCUCUAAAAUGUUUCCUAUUAAACAAUUAUUUGUGCGGCCAUCCAUAAUCCCUUAUAAAAGGGGAAACAACUUACUAAAUGAAUCUUUAUUGGAUUAAUCAGUUUACAAUCAUCUCAUGCUAUGAGAAACACCUUUAAUAUUCCCCUCCUUAUAGCACUAUGCUUCCUGUCCUCCAGUUUUAUGCAUCAAACGCAACAAAUCUUUAGGUUAUUCUUAACUGCUCAAAGGCAAGCACAUGUUCCAGAUGAUACUGCAGAAUAUGCUUAUACCAAGUCAUAAGAUUUACUGCAUAAUAUUCUAAUAGAAGAUAUACACAGUGUUCUGAAAUAAACUACCCAAAAUAUUUUCAACAAUGCUUUAAGUUUUGCAUUUAUAAGUUUAAAACAUCUAAAUGAAUAUUUUAUAACAUCCGCAAAAAAAAAAAAAAAAAAAAAAAAGGAAGGAAGAAAAAAAAGAAAAGAAGAUUCCAUAAUCUCUUUAUCUUGCCACAAGCGUGAAGCUGCUUACCAUUCAUAGCAGUGGGAAACUGAGCCAUCAUGGUCCUGGAUUUUCCUUGCUAGCUCUCAGCCAUCUGUAACAAGAAAAUAUUGUGCCAUUAAUAAUACAACAAGGGCAGACCAUAGCAUAGUAGCGUGCUCACUAAGCAGCAGGAAUGUCUGUCCCCUUCAGCUCACACUUCCAAGAGAAAACGAUGCAGAGCUUCAGCUGCUGCUGAACAGGCAGAAUUUACAUUUGGGGAAGGGUAGAAGAUUUUGUUGGAUAAUGGUGCUUCCUUUAAAAUGAAAUCAUUUAAAAGAAAAACAGUCUCAUAUUUAAUAGCAAAUACUGAAUAAAGAAACCUUUGGCAGGAACCAAUUUUGCAGAAAUUAAUUCAUGAAAGAGGACAGUUGUUAAGCUAGACAAAAAUUUAUUUCAGAGAAAUCAAAUGUAUUAAGUGUACAAUAACAUGAAAAUUCUUAAUACUCUUCUUCAAAAAAAAAAUCCCCAUACAAGAAAAAUAUCCAAAAUAAAUGUAGCAAAGCUAUUUAAUCAAGUUCUACUGAUUUAUAAAAAUCAUCUAAAUGUAACUAUUAAAACAUAUAUGUUUAUUUAAACAUAACUAAAUGUGCUGAGCAAAUAUUCUGCUCAGGAAGAAAAGGGAAUUUGGAAAUUAACAGCUCUGGGUUCAAACCCUUACUGCUGUUUUCUUAGCUGUGACCACAGAAGCAUUAUUUAACCUUACUGAGUCUUAGAUACCUCAUCUAUGAAAAUACUUUGCAGGAGAUGUUUUAAAAAAUAUGAAACAAAAUCUAGUACACUGCCUGACACAUAGUGGAUAUUUGAAAAAUGACUUCCUGGGUGUCCAGAAAGGAAGAAUGCAAUAUAAUUUUGAACCUUGAAUUCAUUAUCUUACUAUAAAUAAAUUCAAAAUUUGUUCCAUGAAUCUUGAGGGUAGGACCAAUUAGGGAGAGUGAAGACCUAGCAAAUUUAUAGUAACCCACUUAAUAAUUAAAGCCAUGGAUUAUAGCAUUGCAGGAAAACACUAUGUUAAAAGUGUUUAAAUGUUAAAAGACCACUCAGUAGCUCAUCUAUUUAUCCAAAUCAUUUGAAUAUUAAUAUUUUUAAAGGCCUGAGGAGAAAUGUUUGCACAAGCCAUCUGAACAAAGAAGACAUAAAGAGUUGCACAUCUAGUGAAAGGUGUCACCAGAGGAGCUGGCUGACUAGCUGCUAAGAAGUGUUACAACGUACUAUAUCAUAGCAAAUGCAGUGUACUCAAGAAGAAAGAUAACCAUACCAGAAUAACCACCAAAGGUAAGUAACACUAACAAAAAACUUCUGUAUUAAUCAAGUUUAUUUUUUAUAACCAGAACAACUUUUCUUCCUAUAAAGCAUACUAUCAUCUACUAAAUUUUGGCCAGAUCAUUGCGUAGUGAGCAAAGCGACUUACUGUGAUUAGAAUACUUAAUGGGGUCAUGCGUCAGCAGUCUCAUACAUCUACCUAUACAACAGAGAUAAGCAAGAACUGGGCAAAACCCCAAUAAUGUUUUGAAUGGCACUGCCAGUUUUACUCUUCUGACU